AGCGGCGAACGGGUGAGUAAUGCAUCGGAACAUGUCCAUGUCGUGGGGGAUAGCCCGGCGAAAGCCGGAUUAAUACCGCAUACGCUCGAGAGAGGAAAGCCGGGGACCGCAAGGCCUGGCGCGAUUGGGUUGGCCGAUGUCCGAUUAGCUAGUUGGUGAGGUAAAGGCUUACCAAGGCGAUGAUCGGUAGCUGGUCUGAGAGGAUGAUCAGCCACACUGGGACUGAGACACGGCCCAGACUCCUACGGGAGGCAGCAGUGGGGAAUUUUGGACAAUGGGGGCAACCCUGAUCCAGCCAUUCCGCGUGAGUGAAGAAGGCCUUCGGGUUGUAAAGCUCUUUUGUCCGGAGCGAAACGGUUGUGGUGAAUAUCCACGACUACUGACGGUACCGGAAGAAUAAGCACCGGCUAACUACGUGCCAGCAGCCGCGGUAAUACGUAGGGUGCGAGCGUUAAUCGGAAUUACUGGGCGUAAAGCGUGCGCAGGCGGUUUUGUAAGCCAGUCGUGAAAUCCCCGGGCUUAACCUGGGAAUGGCGAUUGGGACUGCAAGGCUGGAGUAUGGCAGAGGGGACUGGAAUUCCUGGUGUAGCAGUGAAAUGCGUAGAUAUCAGGAGGAAUACCGAUGGCGAAGGCAGGUCCCUGGGCUGAUACUGACGCUCAUGCACGAAAGCGUGGGGAGCAAACAGGAUUAGAUACCCUG
RNAcentral lists this ribosomal RNA (700 nucleotides) under uncultured bacterium. RNAcentral describes it as "bacterial SSU rRNA". It matches the Rfam family "Bacterial small subunit ribosomal RNA", at positions 94 to 789 of the family's 1533-position model. The record is from RNAcentral.